UUCACGCCGCCGAAUUGGCGAGGGCUAC
Molecule: small RNA, 28 nt
Filed under: Bombyx mori (domestic silkworm)
Lineage: Eukaryota; Metazoa; Arthropoda; Insecta; Lepidoptera; Bombycidae
Description: ovarian small RNA-37004
Source: RNAcentral